This 820-nucleotide ribosomal RNA is filed under the name Vibrio cholerae. RNAcentral describes it as "partial 23S ribosomal RNA". It matches the Rfam family "Bacterial large subunit ribosomal RNA", at positions 1017 to 1852 of the family's 2925-position model. Lineage: Bacteria; Pseudomonadati; Pseudomonadota; Gammaproteobacteria; Vibrionales; Vibrionaceae. The record is from RNAcentral.
GGGAAACAGCCCAGAUCACCAGUUAAGGUCCCCAAAUCUAUGCUAAGUGGAAAAGGAUGUGGAGUUGCGUAGACAACUAGGACGUUGGCUUAGAAGCAGCCAUCAUUCAAAGAGUGCGUAAUAGCUCACUAGUCGAGUGGCGCUGCGCCGAAAAUUUACCGGGGCUAAGCAUAGUACCGAAACUGUGGAUGUGCGUAAGCACGUGGUAGGAGAGCGUUCUAAUUGCGGCGAAGCCUAAUCGAGAGGAUAGGUGGAGCGAUUAGAAGUGAGAAUGCCGGUAUGAGUAGCGAAAGAUAGGUGAGAAUCCUAUCCGCCGAAAGACUAAGGUUUCCUGGGGCAGGCUCGUCCGCCCAGGGUAAGUCGGGACCUAAGGUAAGGCCGAGAGGCGUAGCCGAUGGACAACAGGUUGAGAUUCCUGUACUAAUAUUAAUCGUUAAGAGCAAUGGAGGGACGCAGUAGGCUAAUGGCGCAUGUAACUGGAAUCAUGUGUAAGCGUCAAGGCUUGAAGUGAGUCAAAUGCUUGCUUCUAAAAGGCUGAGGCGUGAUGCGGAGCGAAAUAAAGUAGCGAAGGUCAUGAUGUCACACUGCCGAGAAAAGCUUCUAGCCAGAGAGAUAUUACCCGUACCGCAAACCGACACAGGUAGUCGAGGAGAGAAUCCUCAGGUGAGCGAGAGAACUCUCGUUAAGGAACUCGGCAAAAUGACCCCGUAACUUCGGGAGAAGGGGUGCUGAUCUCCGGAUCAGCCGCAGUGAAUAGGCCCAAACAACUGUUUAUCAAAAACACAGGUAUCUGCAAAAUCGUAAGAUGACGUAUAGGUGC